GUAUUCGGUGGUAGUAUUUAAAUGAAAUUUUCAAAACCUCAUGUCAUCUAUGCAUAACAUUCUUUCUCUCCAAAAUUCAGAAGUUUUCUUUUCUAUUCCUUCUCUUUAAAAUUCUUUUCCUUCUCUCUAUAAAUUCUCAUCUUAUUCUUCAUCUAAUCCACAAUCAGAUUACGAAUAAGCCACCCUAGUGGCAAGGACUUCCGUUAUCACCGAUCAAACUUGGGUUUUGAACGGGUGUCCCUAGGAUUUUCUGGUGUUAAAGCAAUUUUUGGAAAAGAUAAACGUUGUUUGGUUCGGCCAAAGAGUAUUCUCCUUUGCAAUGAUCAUUCUAUAGAUGUGAGCAAAAGGAGGAGAUACUUUUGUGGAGAAGAAGAUGGAAGGAGAAGACCGAUCGUUUAUGUUAAGAGUAUGACCGUUCAACUUUGUACGCUUUUAGGAAACAGCUUGGUACCAUU
Vigna radiata var. radiata (mung bean) is the source of this 455-nucleotide long non-coding RNA. RefSeq lists it as uncharacterized. The record is from RefSeq and is a predicted model, not a curated record. The transcript has 3 exons. NCBI's taxonomy places the organism in Eukaryota, Viridiplantae, Streptophyta, Magnoliopsida, Fabales, Fabaceae.